AUGUACUCAAGUAAAUGUAACGAAGUAAAUGUAACUCAUUACUACCCACCUCUGGGUAGAGUUGAGUGUCAUCAGCAUAGCAGUGAUAUGAAAAGCAAUGUUUGUCUACCCGACAAAAUGGAUGAACUGCUUCUGCUCUCCCAGACAAAUAAGGAUUUAUCACACUCUCCUGCUCUGUUUUUUUUUAUGGAAACUUGGCUAAACGACAGCGUGCUCCAUCUACCGGACUUUCAGCUGCUCAGAGCGGACCACGACGCAGAAUCAACAGGGAAAUCACACAGCGGUGGGACAUGCUUUUACAUCAACAAAAGUGAUGCCAUGUAGACUUAGAUGUGAAGUGGUCCAAGAACUGAGCCCUGAGGCACCCCAGUAGUCAGAUGUCGCGACUUGGACACCUCACCUCUCCAAGAUACCUUAAAGGACCUAUCUGAGAUGUAAGACUCAAACCACUGGAGUGCGGUUCCUGAGAUGCCCUUUUCCAAUAGGGUUAACAGGAGGAUCUGGUGGUUAACCAUGUCAAAAGCAGCGGAUAGAUCCAGCAAGAUAAGUAUUGAUGAUCUGGAAUCCACUCCAGAUUAUAUCUGAUGCAGGCCUUGCUAAUACAAUGUUAUUGAAAUAUAGGAGAAUUAAAACUGCACUGGACCUGACUGCUUAAUAUUAUGGCAUAUGCUGCAGCAUACGCUACCUGUGCUAAAAUAAACAUCUGCAUGCAGAUUUAAAAACUCUUCAUAUUUAGUUAAUGUCAGGGAGGAUUAUUUUCAUUGUUGUCAGUUUUCAAUGAAUAAAAACAUCACAAAGUCACAUUGUUGUUGCUGAGAUUAUGUUAAUUGUUUUCUCAUCACAACCCUGUGCUUAUGCCAAAUCUGCGUGUUCAGUUUUUUUUUUUUUUUUUUUUUUUCUUCAGCCGUGCAUUUGUAUUAUUUUUGGAUGUGUGAACUGUGCGAGGCUGCUGUUGUCUUUGUGGUUGUGAAACUGGUUCAUUCUCUUCUGAUUCUGGUUCAAACAUACAUGUAUGUGAUUGCAUUCAAGUGCCUGUCAUUUUUCCCCAUCUUUAAUUUCAAAAUAGUUCUUCAUGAGGCAAUAAUCCUUAUUUUCUAUGCAAUAAAAUAUAGUCAUAACAGUCGACAUUUACAAAUAAUUCAGAGAGUUUGGAAUAAUAGUCUCAAUUGAAUCCAGUUAAUUUGCUUAAACAAAUGUCUUGUUUAAAAAAUUAUAAUCACUACAUCUUCUAUAUAUAUUAAAUGAACUCAGCUGCUGUUGACAAACAAAUCUGAGUGCAUCGUAAUAGAAAACCUGUUUUGAGAUACAGUACAUUACUUGUUCAAAAAGUUGUGAGAAGUUAGAACUUAGAACAGAAUAGAAAACAAGAAAAACUAAAAUAAACAAGUACAUUUUUGAUUAUUAUUUUACCAUUUUGGGGAAUUAAUACAGUGCAUACUGCUGUAUCUUCAUACAUUCCAUCCUGCUGUGUCUCUCCAUUCAUCUCAGCAUGUCAGGAUUCAUGACUGGAACAUUAUGGAGGUCAUACUUUUACUGCAGCAUAGAUAAGCUUUAUCACGGCACUGCACAUUAUUGGACUAUAGUUUUUUACCCUCUCCAAUUACAGCAGCUGUCCCAUUAUUUUAUCAAUAACAGAUGCCUCCAUUUUGUAAAGCUGAUAUCCCAAAACAGCAAUAUGGUGGCAAACCUCUGUGUCCUGAUAUUAGGCCUACAGCGUAGAGAUUACUGCCACCCAAACAGACUAUUUAAUCACUCCAACUCGCUAUUGACAUAAACGGCUGAUACG
Long non-coding RNA from Cyprinus carpio carpio, 1786 nucleotides. The record is from Ensembl. Lineage: Eukaryota; Metazoa; Chordata; Actinopteri; Cypriniformes; Cyprinidae.